This is a non-coding RNA of Schizosaccharomyces pombe (fission yeast), 153 nucleotides long. The record is from the annotation of a GenBank genome assembly. NCBI's taxonomy places the organism in Eukaryota, Fungi, Ascomycota, Schizosaccharomycetes, Schizosaccharomycetales, Schizosaccharomycetaceae.
UUGACGUGCCUUGUUCACACAUAUUUUACAGUUAAAAUUCAUUUAAACGUAUAUCGAAUUGUUCAAAAGAGCCGAUGAGGAAUAUUCUAUUGUCAUUCUUGUACUGACAAGGUCGAAUGUCUUAUUUUCAAUCCGACGCUUGAAUUAUGAGAA